RNAcentral lists this ribosomal RNA (253 nucleotides) under uncultured bacterium. RNAcentral describes it as "partial 16S ribosomal RNA". It matches the Rfam family "Bacterial small subunit ribosomal RNA", at positions 524 to 776 of the family's 1533-position model. The record is from RNAcentral.
UACGGAGGGAGCUAGCGUUAUUCGGAAUUACUGGGCGUAAAGCGCACGUAGGCGGCUUUGUAAGUAAGAGGUGAAAGCCUGGAGCUCAACUCCAGAACUGCCUUUUAGACUGCAUCGCUUGAAUCCAGGAGAGGUGAGUGGAAUUCCGAGUGUAGAGGUGAAAUUCGUAGAUAUUCGGAAGAACACCAGUGGCGAAGGCGGCUCACUGGACUGGUAUUGACGCUGAGGUGCGAAAGCGAGGGGAGCGAACGGG